Molecule: long non-coding RNA, 634 nt
Filed under: Ananas comosus (pineapple)
Lineage: Eukaryota; Viridiplantae; Streptophyta; Magnoliopsida; Poales; Bromeliaceae
Description: long non-coding RNA (ACOM_LNC010883)
Source: RNAcentral
CUCUUUUUAAGUGUAUGAUGCUCCAUAUUAGUAUUUUAUGUGAAAAUAAGAAUAAACUUUAUUCUCUUCUGUUUUUAAUUCAAGAAAAAAAAUAGAAAUCUCUUCUGUUUGGAAUAUGUUUGGCUUAUCUGGUAACUACAUAUUUCCGGUUUGAUUGUUCUUGAUGUAUCAAGUUCUGGAAGGAAGAAGAAUUCAUAAAAGUCACUUAAAAAGAUUUAAGGAAAUCGUGGGAUCAGUCCUUUCCAAAGUUUCAUUAGAUUUAAGGAAGAAGAAUUCAUAAAAGAUCACUUAAAAAGAUGUUAAUCCCUCACUUUCAUCCAAGCACUUGAGAGAAGCCGCCUCACAAGAAGAUGCUGAGAUUAGAGUUAUCUCCAAAUUUUGCCUCCUAAUAGCCCAUAAAGGUGCUCUAGUUUUAGUUUAUUAAUGUCUGCCGCUCUGUCGAAUUUAGUUCUUGUGAAAAUUCUGGUGUUUUUAGAGGGUAAAGUCAUAUGAUCCACAUCAUUCACAAUGUUUCACUUUUACUUUUACUUUCAUGUACCUUAAAUAAAGACAAUGUUGUUUCGAUGCAGCAUCUAUCAAUUAGUUUGCAACUUUGAAAACUUUGAGCGAUUUUUACACAGGGUUACUGUUUGAU